This is a non-coding RNA of Sturnus vulgaris (Common starling), 170 nucleotides long. The record is from RefSeq and is a predicted model, not a curated record. NCBI's taxonomy places the organism in Eukaryota, Metazoa, Chordata, Aves, Passeriformes, Sturnidae.
CGGCGCCUGGCGCUGCGCCUGGGGGGGCUCCUGGCGGCCACCGGCGGGGUGGCCGUGCUCUACAUCUUCGGCAGCAACGCGGUGGACGAGCACGGGGACAAGAUCCCCGAUGAGUUCGACAGCGGUGAGUGACCCCCAGGUGACAGGGGAGGGGACACUGCGGUGCCACC